CCGAGCAGGCUCUCGAUCAUGUCCAAGGCCGAUGAUCUCUAGAUCUGGUUCAGAUCUCUAGAUCUCGAAGCAGUUUCGGUAUAUGAUUACUUCCGUUCCGUUAUAAUUCUCCGUCACCGUCGUUUGGUCCGUGUGCUACGCCAUUCGUUUACCUGUUGUAUUUUCCGUUUGAGGAAUUUUGGUGCUUUCCUUCGGCUGCAAGAAAACGAACAUUUUAAUGGCCUCAUAUGCGGAUGACUUUGGACCUACUGGAAAAGAAAAGUACUAAUAAUGGCCAUUAAAAUUUUAUAUUAAUAAAACAAAAAAACAAAAGUAAAAAAGUCUACAAAUCGUAAUGUUUUGCAAUUAAAAAUUAUGUAGUAAAAUGUGAAUUAUUAUUCAGAGUAAAUACUAAGAAAUGUAAUAAAAAUUAAGUUCAAUAAAAAGCUUGGUUGUAAAUAGUUAGUAAGAACAUUAUAAAAUGAUCGAUGUGAUUCAUCUCAGAAAAUUAUGCUAAAGACUUUGAUGAUGAUGUAUUAAAAAUGAUUAAAAAGGGCAAUUCAAAAAAAAAAGAAAAAAAAGAACUCGAAUUCGGUGAAAGUGGGCGCUACUACUUUCUCGUGCGAAAGGGGACAGCACGAAGAAAAGGAAGAAGACUACAGCUGUACGCAAUUAAUUGUGCCCGGACCACUGAUUCCUCCAGCCCAUAAUAACCCGUUCAAUUCAAAAAUCAAGCGAGUACCAAACAAUUAAACUAUUUUAAUUAUUAAAAUACGCGAUAAAAUCAGAGGAUACAGCUGGCAGAUCAAAACAAACUUAUUCUGAGCAUAGGAAGCGGAGAACAAUCAAAGGCUUGUUAAAAAAAAA
This is a long non-coding RNA of Asparagus officinalis (garden asparagus), 846 nucleotides long. RefSeq lists it as uncharacterized. NCBI's taxonomy places the organism in Eukaryota, Viridiplantae, Streptophyta, Magnoliopsida, Asparagales, Asparagaceae. The transcript is spliced from 3 exons. The record is from RefSeq and is a predicted model, not a curated record.